UACGUAGGGCGCAAGCGUUGUCCGGAAUUAUUGGGCGUAAAGAGCUCGUAGGCGGCUUGUCACGUCGGGUGUGAAAGCCCGGGGCUUAACCCCGGGUCUGCAUUCGAUACGGGCUAGCUAGAGUGUGGUAGGGGAGAUUGGAAUUCCUGGUGUAGCGGUGGAAUGCGCAGAUAUCAGGAGGAACACCGAUGGCGAAGGCAGAUCUCUGGGCCGUAACUGACGCUGAGGAGCGAAAGCAUGGGGAGCGAACAGG
RNAcentral lists this ribosomal RNA (253 nucleotides) under uncultured bacterium. RNAcentral describes it as "partial 16S ribosomal RNA". It matches the Rfam family "Bacterial small subunit ribosomal RNA", at positions 524 to 776 of the family's 1533-position model. The record is from RNAcentral.